GGCGAGAUGGCCGAGCGGUCUAAGGCGCCAGACUAAGGAUCAGUCAGUUCACACUGGCAAACCUGAUUCCUCACAGAAUCAUCUGGUCUUUCGGGGCGUGGGUUCGAAUCCCACUCUCGUCA
RNAcentral lists this transfer RNA (122 nucleotides) under Schizophyllum commune. Its description in RNAcentral is "tRNA-Leu". It matches the Rfam family "tRNA". From Rfam's summary of the family: Transfer RNA (tRNA) molecules are approximately 80 nucleotides in length. Their secondary structure includes four short double-helical elements and three loops (D, anti-codon, and T loops). The record is from RNAcentral. Lineage: Eukaryota; Fungi; Basidiomycota; Agaricomycetes; Agaricales; Schizophyllaceae. RNAcentral also lists the same sequence under 1 other name.